Molecule: ribosomal RNA, 875 nt
Filed under: Howardula sp. JPD-2022
Lineage: Eukaryota; Metazoa; Nematoda; Chromadorea; Rhabditida; Allantonematidae
Description: SSU rRNA
Rfam family: Eukaryotic small subunit ribosomal RNA
Source: RNAcentral
UCUUGACAUAUCUUACUUGGAUAACUGUGGUAAUUCUAGAGCUAAUACAUGCACCAAAGCUCUAACCUGACGGAAAGAGUGCAUUUAUUAGAGCAAAACCAGGCGACUUCGGUCGAUUUUUGCUGACUCAGAAUAACUUAGCUGAUCGCACGGUCUAUGAACCGGCGACGUGUCUUUUGAGUAUCUGCCUUAUCAAUUUUCGAUGGUAGUGUAUUUGACUACCAUGGUGUUGACGGGUAACGGAGAAUAAGGGUUCGACUCCGGAGAAGGGGCCUGAGAAAUGGCCACUACGUCUAAGGAUGGCAGCAGGCGCGCAAAUUACCCACUCUCGGAAUGAGGAGGUAGUGACGAGAAAUAACGAGACCGUUCUCUAUGAGGCCGGUUAUCGGAAUGGGUACAAUCUAAACCCUUUAACGAGUAUCUAUGAGAGGGCAAGUCUGGUGCCAGCAGCCGCGGUAAUUCCAGCUCUCAAAAUGCAUAGAACCAUUGCUGCGGUUAAAAAGCUCGUAGUUGAAUCUGUGCCAUAGGUUUGGUUCGUCUUUUCGACGCCUACUAAAUCCUGUGGCUUUUCGUCGGUUUUCUUGUUGUGACCUUUGUUGGUGGCGGCAAGUGGCUGACAAUUUUACUUUGAACAAAUCAGAGUGCUCAACACAGGCGUUUUGCUUGUAUGCUUUUGCAUGGAAUAAUGGAAUAUGACUUCGGUCUAGUUUUAUUGGUUUUAUAGGUCGUUGUAAUGAUUAAAAGAGACAAACGGGGGCAUUCGUAUUGUUGCGUGAGAGGUGAAAUUCUUGGACCGUAGCAAGACGACCUACAGCGAAAGCAUUUGCCAAGCUUGUCUUCAUAAUCAAGAACGAAAGUCAGAGGAUCGAAGCGCA